Rosa rugosa (rugosa rose) is the source of this 3650-nucleotide RNA transcript. It is a transcript of the gene named transcription termination factor MTERF15, mitochondrial-like, with no coding region annotated. The transcript is spliced from 2 exons. Lineage: Eukaryota; Viridiplantae; Streptophyta; Magnoliopsida; Rosales; Rosaceae. The record is from RefSeq and is a predicted model, not a curated record.
UCAGAGUCAUAAGCGCACCGUUUUGCCUUACCAGUCAGUUCCCGCGGAGGAGCAAAACCCUAAAACCCCAAAUUGAACUAAAUACCCAACUCUGAAGCAGAGGCAAUUGGUAUUUGGUGAAGCUGAGCCAGAGAGACACUUGUAUUUGGUGAGUAGUCCCUUCCUCGUUUGCUCCGAUUAUGUUUGGUGUUUACUGUAAAAGAUUGCAAUUACUAGUUCCAACUUCAGUUACCCAUUUUCAUUGCUUUCAAAAGCUCCUUCCUUUUAGCAGAUCAUAUUCAUCUUUAUUAGGAUCUGAUAUAGAUGAUGAUGAUGAUGAUGAUAAACCCCAAGGUCACUCUUUUACAGUUUCAUACCUCAUAAACUCAUUUGGGUUUUCCCCAAAACUGGCUCUCUCUUUGUCCAAGAAGCAUAGGGUACGGUUUGAUUCCCCAGAAAAACCAGACUCAGUUGUUAAGCUUCUCAAACACCAUGGAUUCAAUGGUACCCAGAUAUCCGAAAUUGUUAAGAAACUACCAACCUUGCUUUUGUGCAAUGCUGAGAAGACCCUUGAGCCCAAGCUCCAGUUUUUCGAUUCUGUUGGCCUUUCAGCCACCACCCUUGCUUGGGUCGUCAGUUACAACCAACGCAUUUUGGGUCAAAGCUUAGAGAGAAGUCUCCGACCGUGCUAUGAUAUCAUCAAAAGUCUACCUAUCCCCCACAACAUGGUGGCUGUUUUCUUGAAGAACUCGAACCGGGCAUUUGGGGUCAAAAUGCUUAGCAAUCUUGUGCCCAAUGUUUCAGUUCUUAGGGCAAUUCAAGUGCCGGAAUCCUGCAUCUCCUUUUACGUUACCUAUCAUCCUCUUGUGCUGUCCCCUGAAACUGGCAAGUUUAAGGAAAGUGUAAACAAGAUCAUUAAUCUCGGAAUUCUGCCUCCGAGUUUUACUUUCAUGAAGGCACUACAAGUCAUCUCUCAGAUGGAUGCAUCAAAGUGGAGACGAAAGACAGAGUUCUAUAGGAAGUGUGGUUGGACUGAGGAUGACUUUCUGUUGGCAUUUAGAAAGAAUCCCAUGUUUAUGAGCUUGUCAGAGGAGAAGUGUUCAAGUAAAAUUGAGUUUCUUGUGAACAAAAUGGGUUGGCAGCCUGCAGAAGUGGCUGACAGGCCGGAUAUUCUAACUCAUAGUUUGGAGAAGUCUAUCAUACCUAGGUGUUCAGUUAUUAGAGUUCUCCAAUAUAAGGGUUUGAUGAAAAAGGGAGAACUUUCUCAAGCUACCAUGCUGAUAAACAGUAGGAAGCGCUUCUUGGAUAGGUUUGUGACCAAAUAUAAGGAUCAAGCACCUGAACUGUUGAGUAUCUUUCAAGGGCAAAUGUCUCUAGCAGAAUUGGGUGUAGGAUUUGAGGAAAGAGAUGGAGUGAAACAAUUGUAGGAUGAACCUUGUGAAUCUUUUUCUUACUUUAAUUAUCAAGAGCAUCAGAACGGCUACUUAUUCACUGUGCUGGGGAGUUUUGAAAGUAAAAUAAAACUCCAAACCCUGAAUUAUGCUUUCAAUGACAUUUUCCAUGCCCCCUUUCUUAGCUAUAAGAAAAAACUAAAACAUUUUGAUGCCUUGUAACAUUCACAAACUAAAAUUUGAAGAAUAAGUUUUCAUGUUGAGUUCUUUCGAAAACCAGCUUUGCUUCAUAAUGUAAUAUAUUCCCAAGAAAUUUUAUGUGAGGGCAUGGACAAAUGAGGUUAUUUGUGUUGAGGUUGUGUGGCCCAAAUUAAGGUAAAGGAAAAAUCUUACAUUGCAUUAUCGCAAGGAAUAUAAGUACUUGACCUACUAUUGAGGCAAUCGGGAUAAACCCAAAAUCUGUCUUUGUCCAUGAUGAUUAAGCGAGAACAGUAUGUGAUGCCACUUUAGACUGGGUUUAUGUAGAACCCGUUGCAAAAACAUUGUUAAUAGACCCAAAAGUUAGGUUGGAACAAGUUAUUCAGGGUGGAAUGAGGUUUAGGGUGGUGAUCUUGGGCUUGGAGUAGCAUCUUGGCUGGAAGAGAAAUAAUUUCCUCAGAGACACAUUGGCAAGUGAAUAAUGGUAAAGUAAUUCAAGUUUGGGAGGAUAGAUGGAUCCCAAAUAGCCCUGAUGGCAGAUUGCAUCCAUUUCCAACAAAUAACAGAUCUACUCUUGCUGUAAGUGAGUUAUUUGAUGAAGAAAACCAGUCUUGGGUGAUUGAUCACAUUGAACCUUUCAUCGCUGUCUCUGAAGCUACAGCAAUCAAAUCCAUCCAUAUUGGUGAUGUUAAUGUUGAUGAUAGAUUGAUAUGGCAUGCUGAAAAAUCAGGUAAUUACACUGAAUUCGGGUUAUCAUCUUAUGCAUAAUCCUUCUAUUUCAGUUCCUAAAGCUUCUUCCUCCCAUGUGAUUAAUAAGAAAGUUUGGAGUUUUAUCUGGGGCAUUGACACAUUACCAAAGAUUAAGCACUUCUUAUGGAGAGCAGUAUCCAACUCUUUGCCCACUGGUCUAAAUCUUUUCAAAAGGAAGCUUCUGAGAUCUCCUGUUUGCAAUUUGUGUGGAGUUGGUGAUGAAAGUAUUGAACAUUGCAUCUUACUCUGCCCUUGGACAGAGUGCACAUGGUUUGGUAGUAUAUUGGGUCUACAUAUACCCAAACAAAACAUCACCACCCUUGAUGUUUGGUUGCUAGCUCUUGCCAAUAUGCCUGCUCCUCCAAAUCAUACAAAGAAUGAGUUAAUUUCUUUGUUCAGUUUCUUCAUCUGGGAAAUUUGGAAAGCUAGGUGUGCAUUUGUAUUUAACCACACCCCUCCCUCUCCUUGUGAUAUCAUACAUACUGCCACAAGACAUUGGAUGGAAUUUCAGAUUGCUAAACGUUCAGCCAAGAAACAGGUAACCUUCUUAUCCGGCACUUUGAAUCAUUCUUGGUGUCCUCCCAUGGAACCCCUGAUCAAAGUCAAUGUCGAUGGUGCCUGAGAUAAGAAUACCACCUCCUCCGGAUCAGGUGUGAUUAUUAGAGAUGCAAGGGGUAAAUUCAUAGCUGGUUCCUCUAGAUCUUGUAUUGCAGGAUCUGCUAUUGAAGCCGAAGCCAUAGCUCUUGUGGAUGGUCUGAAGUUGGUCAAGCAAUUGAACCUAGACAACAUUGUUAUGGAAAGUGAUUCACAGGAGCUAAUUUCAGCUUUGGGAAACCACAUUGAGAAAGGUAAUUGGAGAAUCUACCCUGUUCUCAUUGAGUUUCAUCGCAUCCGUCAUCUUCUUAGCAGUGUCUCUUGGAAUUGGAUCUCCCGUGAAGCUAACGGUGCUGCCGAUGCAGCCGCAAAGCUAGCCAAAUCGAGGUUGUGCACAAAAGUGUGGGUUAAUAUACCCCCAACCUCUCUUGUCUCUGUUUUAACUAAUGACCGGCUUCCUUGUCCUCACUAAGUUUUCAUUAUUUUGUUCUUGUAGUUUUGCCUGGUAUUCCUACCAGAUGUUUCAGUUGUAUUUGGCUUAUGUACUUGUUUGUGCCUUCUCCCUUUCGGAUUUUCAAUUGAAGUAUUUUCAGACCAAAAAAAAAAAAAAAGGUGGAAUGAGGUAAGUGUCAAGGGGCAGCUAGGGGUAUUACGUGACAUGCAUAGCAUGUGAAAAUAAGCCAAAUUUUGUCAAUGCCUUUUAUUUUUCUAUUGAAAUUCUUCAGUGUCAUGGUGUUG